This 497-nucleotide ribosomal RNA is filed under the name uncultured bacterium. RNAcentral's name for it is "partial 16S ribosomal RNA". It matches the Rfam family "Bacterial small subunit ribosomal RNA", at positions 28 to 507 of the family's 1533-position model. The record is from RNAcentral.
GAUGAACGCUGGCGGCGUGCCUAAUACAUGCCAGUCGAGCGAACAGACGAUGAGCUUUCUCCUCGUACGGAAGCGGCGAGCAGGUGAGUAACACUUUGAUAACCUACCUAUAAUACUGGGAGAAAUUCGGGAAUCCUGAGCUAAAACCGGAUAAGAUAUUGAACGGCAUGGUUAAAUAGUUAAAGGCGUGUUUGCUGUCACUUAUAGAUGGAUCCGCGCGGCAUGAGAUAGCUGGUAAGGUAACGGAUUACUAAGGCAACGAUGCGUAGACGACGUGAGAGGGUGAUAGCCCACCCGGGAACUGGGACACGGUCCCGACUCCUACGGGAGGCACCAGUAGGGAAUCUUCCGCAAUGGGGGAAAGCUUGGCGGAGCAACGCCGCGUGAGUGAUGAAGGUCUUCGGAUCGUAAAACUCUGUUAUUAGGGAAGAACAAAUGUGUAAGUAACUAUGCACGUCUUGACGGUACCUAAUCAGAAAGCCACGGCUAACUACGUG